RNAcentral lists this transfer RNA (69 nucleotides) under Macrostomum lignano. It matches the Rfam family "tRNA". From Rfam's summary of the family: Transfer RNA (tRNA) molecules are approximately 80 nucleotides in length. Their secondary structure includes four short double-helical elements and three loops (D, anti-codon, and T loops). Lineage: Eukaryota; Metazoa; Platyhelminthes; Macrostomidae. The record is from Rfam by way of RNAcentral.
GGGGUUGUAGCAUAGUGGCUAGAGCGUCAGACUCACAACUGAAAGGUCGGGGUUCGAUUCCCGAUCCCA